Molecule: ribosomal RNA, 1444 nt
Filed under: Brevibacterium sp. AB_97
Lineage: Bacteria; Bacillati; Actinomycetota; Actinomycetes; Micrococcales; Brevibacteriaceae
Description: bacterial SSU rRNA
Rfam family: Bacterial small subunit ribosomal RNA
Source: RNAcentral
GUCGAACGCUGAAACCUGAUGCUUGCAUCGGGUGGAUGAGUGGCGAACGGGUGAGUAACACGUGAGUAACCUGCCCCCGACUUCGGGAUAAGCCCGGGAAACUGGGUCUAAUACCGGAUAUGACCAACGCUCGCAUGAGUGUUGGUGGAAAGUCUUUUCGGUUGGGGAUGGGCUCGCGGCCUAUCAGUUUGUUGGUGAGGUAAUGGCUCACCAAGACGACGACGGGUAGCCGGCCUGAGAGGGCGACCGGCCACACUGGGACUGAGACACGGCCCAGACUCCUACGGGAGGCAGCAGUGGGGAAUAUUGCACAAUGGGGGAAACCCUGAUGCAGCGACGCAGCGUGCGGGAUGACGGCCUUCGGGUUGUAAACCGCUUUCAGCAGGGAAGAAGCCCCUUGGGGUGACGGUACCUGCAGAAGAAGUACCGGCUAACUACGUGCCAGCAGCCGCGGUAAUACGUAGGGUACAAGCGUUGUCCGGAAUUAUUGGGCGUAAAGAGCUCGUAGGUGGUUGGUCACGUCUGCUGUGGAAACGCAACGCUUAACGUUGCGCGUGCAGUGGGUACGGGCUGACUAGAGUGCAGUAGGGGAGUCUGGAAUUCCUGGUGUAGCGGUGAAAUGCGCAGAUAUCAGGAGGAACACCGGUGGCGAAGGCGGGACUCUGGGCUGUAACUGACACUGAGGAGCGAAAGCAUGGGGAGCGAACAGGAUUAGAUACCCUGGUAGUCCAUGCCGUAAACGUUGGGCACUAGGUGUGGGGGACAUUCCACGUUCUCCGCGCCGUAGCUCUGACUAGAGUGCAGUAGGGGAGUCUGGAAUUCCUGGUGUAGCGGUGAAAUGCGCAGAUAUCAGGAGGAACACCGGUGGCGAAGGCGGGACUCUGGGCUGUAACUGACACUGAGGAGCGAAAGCAUGGGGAGCGAACAGGAUUAGAUACCCUGGUAGUCCAUGCCGUAAACGUUGGGCACUAGGUGUGGGGGACAUUCCACGUUCUCCGCGCCGUAGCUAACGCAUUAAGUGCCCCGCCUGGGGAGUACGGUCGCAAGGCUAAAACUCAAAGGAAUUGACGGGGGCCCGCACAAGCGGCGGAGCAUGCGGAUUAAUUCGAUGCAACGCGAAGAACCUUACCAAGGCUUGACAUACACUAGACCGUCCUGGAAACAGGUCCUCUCCUUUGGAGUUGGUGUACAGGUGGUGCAUGGUUGUCGUCAGCUCGUGUCGUGAGAUGUUGGGUUAAGUCCCGCAACGAGCGCAACCCUCGUUCUAUGUUGCCAGCACGUGAUGGUGGGAACUCAUAGGAGACUGCCGGGGUCAACUCGGAGGAAGGUGGGGAUGACGUCAAAUCAUCAUGCCCUUUAUGUCUUGGGCUUCACGCAUGCUACAAUGGCUGGUACAGAGAGAUGCGAGACCGUGAGGUUUUAGCGAAUCCCUUAAAGCCAGUCU